Molecule: ribosomal RNA, 500 nt
Filed under: uncultured bacterium
Lineage: Bacteria
Description: partial 16S ribosomal RNA
Rfam family: Bacterial small subunit ribosomal RNA
Source: RNAcentral
AUUGAACGCUGGCGGCAUGCCUUACACAUGCAAGUCGAACGGCAGCGGCGACUUCGGUCCGCCGGCGAGUGGCGAACGAGUGAGUAAUGUACCGGAAGGUACCAUUCCGUGGGGGGUAACGUAGCGACAGGAACGCUAAUCCCGAAUCUUCUCGCCGUAGGAACGCCGGGGACCGAAAGGCCUAGGAGUCUUUAAGCGGCCGGUAUCAGAUUAGCUAGUUGGUGAGGUAAAAGCUCACCAAGGCGACGAUCUGUAGCGGGUCUGAGAGGAUGAUCCGCCACACUGGAACUGAGACACGGUCCAGACUCCUACGGGAGGCAGCAGUGGGGAAUUUUGGGCAAUGGGGGCAACCCUGAUCCAGCCAUGCCGCGUGAGUGAAGAAGGCCUUCGGGUUGUAAAACUCUUUCGGCCGGGAAAAAAUCGCAUGGGUUAAUACCCUGUGUGGAUGAUGGUACCGGAAUAAGAAGCACCGGCUAACUACGUGCCAGCCGCCGCGGUAA